CGCGUAGGCGGCCGAGCAAGUCCUAGGUGAAAGCCCCCGGCUCAACCGGGGAAAUGCCUCGGAAACUGCUCGGCUUGAGUCCCGGAGAGGGUAGCGGAAUUCCCAGUGUAGCGGUGAAAUGCGUAGAUAUUGGGAGGAACACCAGUGGCGAAGGCGGCUACCUGGACGGGUACUGACGCUGAGGCGCGAAAGCUAGGGGAGCAAACA
Molecule: ribosomal RNA, 207 nt
Filed under: uncultured bacterium
Lineage: Bacteria
Description: partial 16S ribosomal RNA
Rfam family: Bacterial small subunit ribosomal RNA
Source: RNAcentral